This is a non-coding RNA of Alexandromys fortis (reed vole), 131 nucleotides long. Lineage: Eukaryota; Metazoa; Chordata; Mammalia; Rodentia; Cricetidae. The record is from RefSeq and is a predicted model, not a curated record.
GAGAAACCCUGUCUCUGGGGGGGGAAAAUAUAUAUCAACAACCAUAGAAGGUCACAUACAUCAAAACAGUUGGUUCCUGUCGACAGAGUCUGUAUAGUUAUCAGAUUUUCUGUGCGAUGACUCCAUACAUA